CGCACGGGUGAGUAACACGUAUCCAACCUGCCGUCUACUCUUGGACAGCCUUCUGAAAGGAAGAUUAAUACAAGAUGGCAUCAUGAGUCCGCAUGUUCACAUGAUUAAAGGUAUUCCGGUAGACGAUGGGGAUGCGUUCCAUUAGAUAGUAGGCGGGGGUAACGGGCCCACCUAGUCUUCGAUGGAUAGGGGUUCUGAGAGGAAGGUCCCCCACAUUGGAACUGAGACACGGUCCAAACUCCUACGGGAGGCAGCAUG
Molecule: ribosomal RNA, 258 nt
Filed under: uncultured bacterium
Lineage: Bacteria
Description: partial 16S ribosomal RNA
Rfam family: Bacterial small subunit ribosomal RNA
Source: RNAcentral